Long non-coding RNA from Physeter macrocephalus (sperm whale), 108 nucleotides. RefSeq lists it as uncharacterized. The record is from RefSeq and is a predicted model, not a curated record. The transcript has 3 exons. Lineage: Eukaryota; Metazoa; Chordata; Mammalia; Artiodactyla; Physeteridae.
CUUAUGCAGGAGGUGUGGAAAUCUGUGGCUUGGUGUACUACACAGUGAUUUGAAAUUUGCAUCUGUUAUGAAAUGAUCACCACAAAGGGAGCUCUGGUGGAAAGAUUG